UGCGUAGGCGAUUACUUAAGUAGGGUGUGAAAUGUCCCGGCUCAACCGGGGAAUGGCGCUCUAAACUGGGUGGCUUGAGUGAGAUAGAGGUGUGCGGAACUUCCGGUGGAGCGGUGAAAUGUGUUGAUAUCGGAGGGAACACCAUUGGCGAAAGCGGCACACUGGGUCUCAACUGACGCUGAGGCACGAAAGCCAGGGGAGCAAACG
RNAcentral lists this ribosomal RNA (207 nucleotides) under uncultured bacterium. RNAcentral describes it as "partial 16S ribosomal RNA". It matches the Rfam family "Bacterial small subunit ribosomal RNA", at positions 568 to 774 of the family's 1533-position model. The record is from RNAcentral.